UACGGAGGUUCCAAGCGUUGUUCGGAAUUACUGGGCGUAAAGGGGGCGCAGGCGGCCUGGUCAGUGGAAAGUGGAAGCCCGGGGCUCAACCUCGGAAGGCCUUUCCAUACUGCCUGGCUUGAGUUCGUGAGAGGGAAGCGGAAUUCAGGGUGUAGCGGUGAAAUGCUUAGAUAUCCUGAGGAACACCGAUGGCGAAAGCAGCUUCCUGGCACGAUACUGACGCUCAUGCCCGAAAGCGUGGGGAGCGAACAGG
Molecule: ribosomal RNA, 253 nt
Filed under: uncultured bacterium
Lineage: Bacteria
Description: partial 16S ribosomal RNA
Rfam family: Bacterial small subunit ribosomal RNA
Source: RNAcentral